AAUUUUAUUGAACUUUUUUGUUCUGAAUAUUUUUAUAGUACAUCUAUCUCAGUUUUUAUAUAAACUUUUAGUAUCUUUUCUAUUGUUCACAGUGAUGGGAAAGCUUAAAGAAUAUUACUGAAAGAAUGAAAGGUUGAUUGAACUUUGAUAUGGUACAUGUAUAUAAAAUUCCCUUGGUUUCUCUCUCUAAAAUACAAGGUACAUGUAGGAUCAUCAUAUGAUUUCUACUGUUAAUUUGUGGUAUAUAUAUCUGAUCAUCAUAGUCAUGGUAGUAAAAUUGGCAGUUGAUUAAACAAUGAAAAUAAAUUCUGUAUCAUUUUGAAAUGAGUCUAGUAUGCAUAUUCUAUGAUUAUUUUAUUGAAAAGAAGUUCUCUGGGGAAACUCACCUGUUCAAGCACCCAGAUUGAUAAUAAUUAUAAAAAAGAAGAAGUGGUAUGAUUGCCAAUGAGCCAACUCUUCACAAUAGACCAAAUGACACAGAAUUAACAACUAUAGGUCACCCUAGGCUACGUCCUUCAACAAUGAGCAAAGCCCAUACUUCAGUCAUCUAUAAAAUAAGCCCAUCUUUUUGCUAUGCAUUUUUUACCAUGGAUGUAUGUCUUACAUUAUAAUAAGUAUGAUCCUAAUGACUUACUUUUUUAAUUGUUAAGAUUUUACCACAACAGAAGCUUGUAGAUAUCCCCAUUUAACAUAAAUUAAAGAAAUGCUGAUCAUGGGAUGAAAUUGGAAUAUAUAUAUAUUUAGUUUAAAUAAGAAUUGUACAUU
This 765-nucleotide long non-coding RNA is filed under the name Mytilus galloprovincialis (Mediterranean mussel). The record is from RNAcentral. Lineage: Eukaryota; Metazoa; Mollusca; Bivalvia; Mytilida; Mytilidae.